Non-coding RNA from Pelobates cultripes (western spadefoot toad), 844 nucleotides. NCBI's taxonomy places the organism in Eukaryota, Metazoa, Chordata, Amphibia, Anura, Pelobatidae. The record is from the annotation of a GenBank genome assembly.
CAUAGUCAGGGCCGGAUUAAGAGCAUACUGGGCCUGGUGCUGACAAAUAUGAUGGGCCUAAUUACGGAAUCUUCUCGACCAAAAACACUAAAACAGUCAUACCUCCCAAGCGUCAUGUAUCUGAUGGAGAUGGUGUUAGAAGGAAAAUCAAAGGAUGCAGCUAUAUGAAAACACAUACUCUAUGCUAAUCUCUCUCUAAUUUAUGUUUUCAUCUUUCAAGUAAAUCCAUAACCCCUAACAGCAGUGUCCAGUGAAAUAGGAAGUCAAUGGGCGAGGUAAAAGGGUGUGCCACUGGUGCAAAUCACGUGACCAGACCUGCCAAAAGGGGUGAACAUGCCCAGAAAGGGGGCAUGUCUGUCCAAAGAAUUUGAAGGACAGCCUGGCAUGAAUGCAUGUCAGGCUGCCCGCCAAUCCUGCAGGCUGUCCAACUAAGGGCAUACUAUGCAGGCAGCACCAUGAGCUUGACAUAAAUGCAUCUAAUAAUGCGCUCACUCCAUGCUUUCUAAGGACUGUCCCCUAGCACACGCUGGUCCACUUGUCUCCUUACCUUCUUACUAGCAGGCAGAAGUUCCUGGUAUAUAGUCUGAGACAGAGUAAAGGUGUAUGUAGUGAGUGUAGUGUUUGUAGUGAGUGUAGUGUAUGUAGUGAGUGUAGAAGAAAGGGGACAUGCCACAGUGUUAGAGAGACCAGCGUCUGCAUUACCUAAACUAAUUUUAUUGACAGCUAGUCCACACAAGUUUUGUUCCCAUACAUCCCUCUUAAGCUUCCAAACUUAAAGGGACACUAUAGUCACCAGAAGAACUACAGCUUAUUGUAUUUGUUCUGGUAAGUAGAAUCAUUCCAU